GCAGCCGGUCAGGCAGCGGGAGAACAAAAGCUGAUCAUCUUCACGGAGCAAGUUUGUGCUGCUUUAAUGCGCAAAAAACCUUCCUUUCUGAGUCCCUGACUGCUGAAGAGCGGGGCUAGUCCCGGCCUCACCAGCGACAUAUUGUCUGGCAGGUGUUCAGAGCAGCUGAAGAACGUCUCCUGUGGUCAGACAUCUGCAUCACCAAGCUCACUGGGGACCUGCCAGGCUCUUCACUGGUGACAUGGAGGAUGAUGGUCUCUAGCCCCAUCUGCAGACUUAGCUGUGACCUGGCCCAGAUCCAUGGCCUGCCAAAGCAGGAGACCCCCACAAUUCUGCACCUAAUGGGGAGAGUCUUCCUUGUUUUCCUGCCUGAAGGACAGGAAUGCUUUUGGGUUCCCAAGAAGCUGAACCCAAAAACCUCAUGCCACCUCUUUCUCCAUGAGAUGAUCCAGCCGAGCUUUAGCUUCUUCAGCACAGACAGUUGAAAUUCCUCACUGGGCUUGAUCAACAGGAGGAGGAUCUGGAGACCAGUUUGGUGCAGGAGCCUGGGGAAGAAAAGACCUUCCUGGAAAGGAAGACUCCAACCUGACUUUGAAGAAGUCCUUUUGAAGGACCAGGCUACACCUGAAAAGAAAGUACAUUGCUGCUGUGUGUGGGACUUCAUCAGACUGGAAGUUAAGAUGUGAAAGUAGGCUGUGCUUUCCCUGUAGCAUCAACCUCAGAGAAAACCCAGAAGUGGGCAAGGAGACUUGAAGCCAGUCAUCCACAAUUGAGUUUUGCCUAUUUAUAGGUGCCACAAGUUCAAUGUUUCCUCAGUUCAAAGCCAUUUCUGCUUCAGUUGUAAAUGCACUGAGUCAUCUCAGCACAUUGAUUUUAGUCGUAAUUGGAAAUAAUACUUUUGAAUCCAGAGAAACUAUAUUUUUAAAUUUGUAAUAAUUAGAAUUUAUCUAUUAUGAUUGCUGCAUUUACAAAAUUUGUACUUAUGAUUUGGUCAGUUUUUCUUUGGGGGUAUACAAGGUAUAUUUUAACUGUUAGCUUUUACUUAUAAACUGUAAAGAAUCAAAAGUGUUGGGGCAUUCCCACUGUGACACAGUAAAGAAUCAAAGUGUCCUUAAACCUUAAAUCUGACUUAAAAUCAAAAAGGAAUAUAAUUAGUUUUAUUUAUUUCAUUGAUUCUUAACAUAUUUUUAUGCUACAGUAGUUUACUUGUGUUUGUGAAUAUAUUGGUAAAUAAAACAAAGAUACUGCUUCCUCCGAAGAUUUUCUGUUGGAGAGGAUGGGGCUUAAAAUGUCAUAAGGAGAGAACUCUUGUUGGACUGGGAAGGAGAAACAUAAGGCACUGGGACAGGUUAUCGCAGCAGGAGCUCUUCCCUUUUUUAAUUUUUAAAUUUAUUUUUUUUAAUUACAUUAGAGUGUGGUUGACUUACAAUGGAGUACAGUUUCAGGUGUACAACAAAGUGAAUCAGUUAUACAUGUACAUAUAUCCAUUCUUCCUCAGAUUCUUUUCCCAGGUGGGUAAUUACAGAACAUCGAGUAGAUUUCCCUGUGCUAUACAGUAGUCCUUGUUAGUUAUUGGAGAUGUUCCUUUAAUUUGUACAUUCUUGAGAAAGCAUGUCUGGUGGUUGUUGAUUCUAUUUCAGCAGUUGCAUGAUCAAGAAGCUGUGUGAAAUACAUUUUAGAAUCAUGGAAUUUAAACUUCAGCAAAUAGGUAGUGAGUAUGCCUUCUAUUUGUUGCCACUGUGCUGGGUGCCAGAUACAAUGAACAGAGCAGACACCUUGGUAUUGUCACAGAGCUCCAGUCUGGUGGGGAUAUGGUUUGCCAAGCAUUCAACUAAAGGCAUGUUGAUACUGUGACAGGGAAAGUGCAGGACACUGGGAGCAUGUGGGAUCCCACGGAUCAGAGAAAGCUUCUGGAAGAAGCAGCUGGUAAGCUGGCAUCUCAAGGGUCUGCAGGGUUAGCCAGGUAAUUGCAUGAUGGCCAGUGGUGGACAUGUUGUGUGGAGAUCGUGUAGGGUAGCAGGCAGAUAAAGGGUUUGGAGAGGAACAAGUGUUUUGAGAUGUGGCUCUGGGUAAAGUCAUGCAUAUGGAAGUUGUAAUCUCAGAGAUGACAUUUGGAACCAUUUGGGAGAUUGAGACUCUGUGCAGAGAGGACGAAGUGUGAUGCUAGUGUGGAAUUUUGAGGAAAACCAAAGGUCCCUAAGAUGAGAGGGAGGAGUCAGCAAAAGCAGAUGAGGAGGAGCAGGAAAUCAGGGUAUGAUGGUGACAUAGAAACCAGCUGAAGUUCCAACUUUAAAAUGGUCAAUGUGGGAACAAGUGUUUGAUGCUUCUAAAAUGUCAGCUGGGGCUGCCUGGCAGUGAACUGUGGCCUCAGUAAGAUGUAGUUUGUUAUACACCUUGCCUGAGCAGUUUCAAGAAAACAGAGAGAUGGGCACCAGAUUAUAGCAAUUGGAGAAAUGAGCUUUAUAUCAAGAAAUAAGGACUCAUAUUGCAGAGACAUUCUAGAAGUUUGGAUCUGAACAGAGUAAGAGAAUACAUACGGGUAGUUGUAAGAAAUGGUCAUAUUCCAGAUGUAGAAGAUGGAAAUUAUGUGCAUUUAAUGUUGAUCAAAACUAGCCAGUCCAAAGGAAGAUGUGGAUACAGCGGAGAGAGGAGCUGACUGAUAAAGCAUAAGCAUCUCUCUGAAGCCUUUUCUACUUUGUAGCAAGGGAAUCUCUCCCCAAAGCUACAUCUUCUGAAACUGACCCUCCAUGAGGAUUUGCACCCUGGAACAGCCAUGGUGAGUCUUGGGAUUUGCAAGGGAGAAUUUCUUUUAUAAAAUGAUAUAAAGGUCUGAAUGAGAGAAUGGAGGUGGGAAUGGGGAAUGGCCAAAUGUCCAUCUCUCUUUUUAGGCAUAUCAGUUCUAUGCAAGCAUAUGUAUCAGUGUUGACCAUGUUUAAAAAACUGCUUAAUGAAAUAUUUAAGUAAUUUGAACUUUUAAAAAAUAUUACAAAUGGAUUAUCUUCUGAAUUAUUUAUUUAUUUAUUUAUUUAUUAUUCUACUGUACAGCAUGGUGUCCCAGUUACACUUACAUGUAUACAUUCUUUUUUCUCACAUUAUCAGGCUCCAUCAUAAGUGACUAGAAGAGUUCCCAGUGCUAAACAGCAGGAUCCUAUUGCUAAUCCAUCCCAAAGGCCACCUUCUGCAUCUGUUUACCCCAAGCUCCCAGUCCCUCCCAAUCCCUCCCCUUUCCCCUUGGCAACCACAAAUCUAUUCUGCAAGUCCAUGAUUUUCUUUUCUGUGGAAAGGUUCCUUUGUGCCACAUAUUAGAUUCCAGAUAUAAGUGAUAUCAUAUGGUAUUUGUCUUUCUCACUUACCUCACUCAGGAUGAGAGUCUCUGGUUCCAUCCAUGUUGCUGCAAAUGGCAUAAUUUUGUUCUUUUUUAUGCCUGUGUAGUAUCCCAUCGUGUAUAUAUAUAUACCACAUCUUCCUAAUCCAAUCAUUUGUCGAUGGACAUUUGGGUUGUUUCCAUGUCUUGGCUAUUGUGAAUAGUGCUGCAAUGAACAUGCGGGUGCAUGUGUCUUUUUAAGGAGAGUUUUGUCUGGAUAUAUGCCCAAGAGUAGGAUUGCUGGGUUGUAUAAUAGUUCUAUGUGUAGAUUUCUAAGGUACCUCCAUACUGUUCUCCAUAGUGGUUGUACCAGCUUACAUUCCUGCCAACAGUGCAGGAUAGUUCCCUUUUCUCCAUCACCCCCUCCAGCAUUUGUUAUUUGUGGACUUAUUAAUAAUGGCCAUUCUGACUGGUGUGAGGUGGUGUCUCAUGGUAGUUUUGAUUUGCAUUUCUCUAAUAAUCAGGGAUGUUGAGCAUUGUUUCAAGUGCUUGUUGGCCAUCUGUACAUCUUCCUUGGAAAAAUGUCUAUUCAGGUCUUUUGCCCAUUUUUCAAUUGGGUUGUUGGCUUUUUUGUUGAGUUGUAUUAAGUUGUUUGCAUAUUUUAGAGAUUAGGCCCUUGUCAGUUGCAUCAUUUGAAAGUAUUUUCUCCCAUUCUGUAAGUUGUCUUUUUGUUUUCUUUUUGGUUUCCUCUACUGCGCAAAGGUUGUCAGUUUGAGUAGGUCCCAUUGGUUUAUUUUUGCUUUUAUUUCUGUUGCGUUGGGAGACUGACCUAAGAAAACAUUUGUAAGGUUGAUGUCAGUGAAUGUUUUGCCUAUGUUCUUUUCCAGGAGUUUGAUGGUGUCUUGUCUUAUAUUUAAGCCUUUCAGGCAUUUUGAGUUUAUUUUUGUACAUGAUGUGAGGGUGUGUUCCAGUUUCACUGAUUCGCAUGUAGCUGUCCAGGUUUCCCAGCAAUACUUGCUGAAAAGACUUUCUUUUUCCCAUUUUAUAUUCUUGUCUCCUUUGUCAAAGAUUAAUUGACCAUAGGUGGCUGGGUUUAUUUCUGGGUUCUCUGUUCCGUUCCAUUGGUCUGUAUGUUUGUUUUGGUACCAGUACCACACUGUCUUGAUUACUGUGGCUCUGUAAUAUUAUCUGAAGUCUGGGAGAGUUCUGCCUCCUGCUUGGUUUUUGUUCUUCAGAAUUGCUGAAUAAUUAAAAUACAAUUUUUGACUUAGGAAAAAUGGAGUUUUCCUAGUCAUGUCAGCAAGAAAUUUUGCCUGAAGUUUCCAUCAUGGUGCAGUGGUUAACGAAUCCAGCUAGGAACCAUGAGGCUGCAGGUUUGAUCCCUGGCCUUGCUCAGUGGGUUAAGGAUCUGGCGUUGCCGUGAGCUGUGGUAUAGGUUGCAGAUGCGGCUUGGAUCCCAUGUUGUUGUGGCUCUGGCGUUGGUGUGACUACAGCUUUGAUUAGACCCCUAACCUGGGAACCUCCAUAUGCCAUGGGAAGCAGCCCUAGA
Molecule: long non-coding RNA, 4853 nt
Filed under: Sus scrofa (pig)
Lineage: Eukaryota; Metazoa; Chordata; Mammalia; Artiodactyla; Suidae
Description: lncRNA (ENSSSCG00030055873.1)
Source: RNAcentral